RNAcentral lists this ribosomal RNA (497 nucleotides) under uncultured bacterium. RNAcentral's name for it is "partial 16S ribosomal RNA". It matches the Rfam family "Bacterial small subunit ribosomal RNA", at positions 28 to 507 of the family's 1533-position model. The record is from RNAcentral.
GAUGAACGCUGGCGGCGUGCCUAAUACAUGCAAGUCGAGCGAACGGACGAGAAGCUUGCUUCUCUGAUGUUAGCGGCGGACGGGUGAGUAACACGUGGAUAACCUACCUAUAAGACUGGGAUAACUUCGGGAAACCGUAGCUAAUACCGGAUAAUAUUUUGAACCGCAUGGUUCAAAAGUUAAAGACGGUCUUGCUGUCACUUAUAGAUGGAUCCGCGCUGCAUUAGCUAGUUGGUAAGGUAACGGCUUACCAAGGCAACGAUGCAUAGCCGACCUGAGAGGGUGAUCGGCCACACUGGAACUGAGACACGGUCCAGACUCCUACGGGAGGCAGCAGUAGGGAAUCUUGCGCAAUGGGCGAAAGCCUGACGGAGCAACGCCGCGUGAGUGAUGAAGGUCUUCGGAUCGUAAAACUCUGUUAUUAGGGAAGAACAUAUGUGUAAGUAACUGUGCACAUCUUGACGGUACCUAAUCAGAAAGCCACGGCUAACUACGUG